This 2061-nucleotide long non-coding RNA is filed under the name Mytilus galloprovincialis (Mediterranean mussel). The record is from RNAcentral. Lineage: Eukaryota; Metazoa; Mollusca; Bivalvia; Mytilida; Mytilidae.
GGGGAAAUUAUGACUUUAUAUGACAAGAAAUUGCAAAUUAGUCUUUGCUGACUAUGAUAUGUUUUUUUUUGGUUUUCGCGUUCUUGUCUGACAGUUGAGUUUUUCAUUAAAAGUUUUUAGUUCCUUUCGACAAAAUUGAACAUAGCAUUAUUCUUACUACAUUUGUAUAAACUUCAAGAUUAUAAUUAUUUUUUUUAAAACCGGUUUUUUUCUAAAGUGAAUAUUGAUCAAUAUUUUCGAAGGGUUAAAUAUUUCUCAGUGAUGUCCUGCCAUGGCUUUGUUUAAAUUUGUUUGUUAGCUUUUUGUUCAUGAAUUUUUGUCUCUAAUAUUUAAUUAACUAUGCAUUUGUAUUCAGAUGUUGCAGAUCAAAUAUAUUCGUUCAUUGUGUAAUCAUACGUUUUUUGAUUGAGUUAAGUCUACCAAUUGAUAUUUUAUCGUGUGUUUUUCUAUGUUGUGAUGUUAUGCUAUUGUUUCAGAAAAAGGGAGAAGGUUUGGAUCCAUUAAAACGUUUAAUCCCGCUGCAAAUGUUUGCACCUGUCCUAAGUCAGGAAUCUGAUGUACAGUAGUUGUCGUUUGUUUAUGUAAUAUAUACGUGUUUCUCGUUUCUCGUUUUGCUUAUAUAGAUUAGACCGUUGGUUUUCCCGUUUGAAUGGUUUUACACUAGUAAUGUUGGGGCUCUUUAUAGCUUGUUGUUCGGUGUGAGCCAAGGCUCCGUGUUGAAGGCCGUAUACUUUAACCUAUAAUGGUUUACUUUUUAAAUUGUUAUUUGGAUGGAGAGUUGUCUCAUUGGCACUCACACCACAUCUUCCUUUUUCUAUAGCACCUUUUGAAGUCUUACGCAAACGAUGCGCCUGUUUUCCCUUCACAGGACAUUCACUGAUAUAUUGUAGACGAAAUGCGCGUCUGGCGUAAAUAUAAAAUUUAAAUACUGGUAUCUAUGAUGAGUUAAAACUUAAAAUGCAACCACUGAGUCGACGCCAUUGCUGGUAGAGAUUUAUUUCCCCGAGGGUAUCACCAGCCCAGUAGUCAGCACUUGUGUUGACUUGGCUUAUCAUUGAUAUAAUCUUAUAAAUUAACACCGUUUUGAAUUUUUGAAAAAACUAAGGUUUUUCUACACCAGGAAUAGACUGCCUUACCUGUAUUUUGCAAAACUACUAGGAAUGUUAUGUUCUCAAUGUUCUUCAACUUCGUCCUUUAUUUUGGCCUUUCAAUCAUUAUUUUGAUUCGAGCGUCACUAAUGAGUCUUUGUAGAUGAAACGCGCGUCUGGUAUUUAUGAUGAGUUUUUUUUGUGUUAUGCCGCUACUGGAUGACCCCCUAAUUUUUUUGCCUUUUUUUUUAAAUUUUGAGCUCUAGUUUCAGAUUUUUGAACAAAGUGCCCUUCGAUACCUAGCGCAAAAGAAGAGCCUGUUUCUCUUCUACAAGACCUAUAUAGUCAUACCCCGUGACACCCCUCAUUAUUUUUCUCUAGAACUCCUGGAAUAGGCCGACCUUACCCCCAUUUUUUGGACAUUUUUUUCGAAUUUUGAGCUCUAGUUUCAGAUUUUUGAACAUAGCGCCCUUCGAUACCUAGUGCAAAAGAAGCGCCUGUUUCUCCUCUACAAGACCUAUAUAGUCAUACCCCGUGACACCCCUCAUUAUUUUUCUCUAGAAGUCCUAGAAUAGGCCGACCCCCCUAAUUUUUUUGACAUUUUUUUCAAAUUUUGAGCUCUAGUUUCAGAUUUUUGAACAUAGCGCCCUUCGAUACCUAGCGCAAAAGAAGCGCCUGUUUCUCCUCUACAAGACCUAUAUAGUCAUACCCGUGACACCCCUCAUUAUUUUUCUCUAGAAGCCCUAGAAUAGAAUAGGCCGACCCCCCUAAUUUUUUGACAUUUUUUUCAAAUUUUGAGCUCUAGUUUCAGAUUUUUGAACAUAGCGCCCUUCGAUACCUAGCGCAAAAGAAGCGCCUGUUUCUCCUCUACAAGACCUAUAUAGUCAUUCCCCGUGACACCCCUCAUUAUUUUUCUCUAGAAGUCCUAGAAUAGGCCGACCCCCCUAUUUUUUUGACAUUUUUUUCAAAUUUU